Molecule: unclassified non-coding RNA, 117 nt
Organism: Callithrix jacchus (white-tufted-ear marmoset)
Lineage: Eukaryota; Metazoa; Chordata; Mammalia; Primates; Cebidae
Rfam family: Metazoan signal recognition particle RNA
About the family: The signal recognition particle (SRP) is a universally conserved ribonucleoprotein. It is involved in the co-translational targeting of proteins to membranes.
Source: Ensembl
GCCGGGUGUGGUGGCUCACACCUGUAAUCCCAGCACUUUGGGAGGCCGAGGUGGGUGGAUCACCUGAGGUCGGGAGUUAGAGACCAGCCUGACCAACAUGGAGAAACCCCAUCUCUA